RNAcentral lists this long non-coding RNA (2209 nucleotides) under Vigna radiata. RNAcentral's name for it is "long non-coding RNA (VRAD_LNC000801)". The record is from RNAcentral. Lineage: Eukaryota; Viridiplantae; Streptophyta; Magnoliopsida; Fabales; Fabaceae.
UAAGAAAGAGUUAGGGUUCCGGUGUCGUUUCUGAUAUAAAUUCAUGUCUUGUUCUUGCCUUUGUGGUAGUGUACUAUGCUAUAUAGUGGUAGGGAAAUACAGAUUCAAGGACAACUUGACCUGUAUACCUUCAUUAGAAUUGGUUUUAGCCUUUGAUACAAUUUCUUGUCUCGAAGAUGAGGAAUUUGAAGACCAGGGUUUAAAUUUCAUAAGUGGGGUGUAGAUAUUGGUGUUUUAAGUUAUGUUUUUGGGUGAAGUAGCUUCCAAGGACGAAAUCUGAUGAUAAGAGAUUGUGCGUUUCAGAAGAAGGGUCGAGUUCAAAUGCUUGAAUAAAAGAAUAUUUGGGCAAGUAUUGGUAUAACAAGACUUGAGAAAUCAGUUUGGUUUGGUAUAUCAGUAACGUCAGAGGUCAAAAGAAAGGGAAGUGUUGGUGAGCAGCAGAGUGGCAUUAGAUGGGAUUGAUAAUUUGGAUCGGUGUAUCAACGAUGGCUGAGAUCUAGAUAAGAAAAGUGGUGGAUGAUUUGAAGUUUAAGUUAAGAAGGGAAUGGGAAUUAUAAGUGGAUCAAGGUGAAUUAGUAUUUAGAAAGGUUUUAGAACAAAUGGCAAAAGGGUGGUUACCGUAUAAAGAGGGUAUCGAGAAUGAUCAGAGANUCUGGGUUGGUUGAGAUGUUUAGAGUUAUGGAGCAGCAUGUGGUGAUAAAGUCAAUUUUCUUUGGGUGUGGUUUUAUGGUGAUGAUUCGUAUUCGGCUGAGUUAAUCAAGAGAGAAAAGAUCUUGAACACUAGGUUACAGAAGGCAGUGAGUUUGUAAGUUCGGAUAAGGUCAGAGGGUUGAUUUCACGAGUAAGGUAUUUUGCAGUUUAGAGGAUUAAAGGUAGGGUUUGUAUUUCUGAAGAUUUUGAGUUGAAGAGGGCAAUUCUUGAGAAGAAGGUUUUAAACCUUUAUGGUCGAGAUGAGUGCAUGAAGAAUUCUUAGCGAUGAGGCGUUUGUGGAGUUAAUCUAGGGCUCAGGUUUGAAGUUAUAUGAAGUGGUUUCUUGGCAGGGAAGGAUAGCGAAGUUGGUGCAUCAAGGGUGGUUGAGAAAAUGUGGGAGCAAGUGUUAUGGGAAUCCAAGACGUCUGAUAAACGCUAGUGAAGAAUAGUUGAUGUUGUUCUUACAUAAAUUUGAGGUGUGAUCAUCAAGGGAGGUUUGUUGUUUUCAAAUCAUUUCUGGGGUCGUGGCCUUCAAAAGAAGUGUUGUGUUUUAAGAAGGGGAACCAAUGGCUAUGCAGCAGAAGCGAACCAAGUUAAAAUGUGAAAACAAGGGGUUGUGAAAGUUAGAAGAGUUUAACGAGGAUAAGUAGAGAAGAUGAAUCUUUAUGGUUUAAGGGUUUUGGUUGGUGUUCUGCAACAAGUAUGGAAUUUUAUAUCUUGGAAAAGUGGUGUUCUCUUUGGAGUGGUGUCUAAACAGAAUCACUGUCAGUAAUCUUUUGUUGAUGAUUCCUGUUGAAGUUGUGUAGUGAAAGAGGAAGAUGGAAAUUGGAUUAGAGCAUAGUGUUUGGAGUCAAUAUAAUCAUAGGGAGAACUACAAUGUUGAGGAAAUGGAAUGGCAGGGUUAUCAUGGGAGAAAAGAGUUAUUAGGGUUUUGCAGGGUUAUGGAAGUUUUAAAGAAAGUUUUCAAGGGUGAUCAUUUUGGAUUGCAGUUGGCAUAAAGGAAGUGUUCUUUAGUAAUCUAGUUUGCAAUGGAGUUUGAGGAUUAGAGUAGCGCAACGGAUGAUGGUGAGCACAUUAUUGUCAGUAAUAUGUGCGCAUGAAGAGCUUUCAUAAUCCUAGAUUGGUGGUUUGUAAGGGACGAGUUAUUUAAAUAGUAUUGGUGCUAGUAUACGAGAAUGAGUUGGGAGAGUUUGGUAAAAUUUUCAAGAGUCAAAAGUGAGUUGAGCAUGGAAGAAAUAGGUAUCAGGCAGAGAAAAUAAGUGUGGUUUCAAGCUAUAGGGUCAGCUUUCAAGUGAGGAAGUAUUAAUGGACUUGGAACAGGAAGAGUGGAUCGGUGGACGAAGGAGAUGACUCGAGCUAUGGUUUCGAGUUGUAGUGUUAAUCUUGAGAUAAGGAAGUGUUAACGGAUGGUUUGAAUUAAAGAGAAGAUUCAGGUUCUUGAUUUGAUAAGGAUUGAGUAAGAGUUGGUUGAAGGAUAUAAAGUUUGGGAUCUUUAGUGAAGUUGUAAAGUGAUUUCGUU